Molecule: transfer RNA, 68 nt
Filed under: Cyrtodactylus ayeyarwadyensis
Lineage: Eukaryota; Metazoa; Chordata; Lepidosauria; Squamata; Gekkonidae
Description: tRNA-Ala
Source: RNAcentral
GGAGGUUUUAGCUUAAUUAAAGUGUCUGAGUUGCAGUCAGAAGUUGUAUUGUUUAUUUUACAAGCCUU